Molecule: long non-coding RNA, 621 nt
Filed under: Ananas comosus (pineapple)
Lineage: Eukaryota; Viridiplantae; Streptophyta; Magnoliopsida; Poales; Bromeliaceae
Description: long non-coding RNA (ACOM_LNC035509)
Source: RNAcentral
GUAUGAAGCCGCUUUGGAGUGAGAGAAUGAGUUGGUACCCGCAAUUGCUCGCGGAGCUGAAUUGAGGCGUGGUUUGAAUUUCGCGGACGAAAUUCUUUUAAGGGGUGGAGAAUGUAACAUACCAGAUUUUGGUAUAAAAAUAAAAAUAAAUAAAAAUAGUGUGAGAUAUUAUUUUUAUUGGAUUUAGAGAAAUAAAACAUAAGUCAGAAAUGACUUGUGCUGAAAUCGGAAUGAAAACAGAAAAUUUAGAAUUUUCUGUUGAAAACGGGACAGAUAAAUUAGUAGAAAAUGUACAGUCUCAGAAAAUUAUGAAAACUGGAGGAUAAGUCAGAAAUAUUUUUAUGAGGCUAGAUUUAAAGUUUCAUCUCAUUCUGACACCUGGAAGGUGAAAAAUAAAAUCCGACAACUAUCUGAUAAAGAUUACAGUUCAAUACAGUUUUCGGUGACCAAACGGGGUCGAAACUGAAAUAUUAAAAUUUCUUUAGACUCGUUAAGUAAAACUGAAUAUGACUAUCAAAUUUGAGCUCAAACGGAUUGUAAUAUACCGAAAAUUCAGAAAAUAAAAAUAUUGAACUUUAGUCAAAUUGACCAAAGUGCGAGGACGGAACACUUCGGAAAGUC